UACGUAGGGGGCAAGCGUUGUCCGGAAUCAUUGGGCGUAAAGAGCGUGUAGGCGGCUCGGUAAGUCCGCUGUGAAAGCCCAGGGCUCAACCCUGGAAUGCCGGUGGAAACUGUCGAGCUAGAGUCCGGAAGAGGCGAGUGGAAUUCCUGGUGUAGCGGUGAAAUGCGCAGAUAUCAGGAGGAACACCAAUGGCGAAGGCAGCUCGCUGGGACGGUACUGACGCUGAGACGCGAAAGCGUGGGGAGCAAACAGG
RNAcentral lists this ribosomal RNA (253 nucleotides) under uncultured bacterium. RNAcentral's name for it is "partial 16S ribosomal RNA". It matches the Rfam family "Bacterial small subunit ribosomal RNA", at positions 524 to 776 of the family's 1533-position model. The record is from RNAcentral.